RNAcentral lists this ribosomal RNA (492 nucleotides) under uncultured bacterium. RNAcentral describes it as "partial 16S ribosomal RNA". It matches the Rfam family "Bacterial small subunit ribosomal RNA", at positions 29 to 507 of the family's 1533-position model. The record is from RNAcentral.
AGUGAACGCUGGCGGUAGGCCUAACACAUGCAAGUCGAACGGCAGCACAGUAAGAGCUUGCUCUUACGGGUGGCGAGUGGCGGACGAGUGAGGAAUACAUCGGAAUCUACUUUUUCGUGGGGGAUAACGUAGGGAAACUUACGCUAAUACCGCAUACGACCUACGGGUGAAAGCAGGGGAUCUUCGGACCUUGCGCGAUUGAAUGAGCCGAUGUCGGAUUAGCUAGUUGGCGGGGUAAAGGCCCACCAAGGCGACGAUCCGUAGCUGGUCUGAGAGGAUGAUCAGCCACACUGGAACUGAGACACGGUCCAGACUCCUACGGGAGGCAGCAGUGGGGAAUAUUGGACAAUGGGCACAAGCCUGAUCCAGCCAUACCGCGUGGGUGAAGAAGGCCUUCGGGUUGUAAAGCCCUUUUGUUGGGAAAGAAAAGCAGCAGGUUAAUACCCCGCUGUUCUGACGGUACCCAAAGAAUAAGCACCGGCUAACUUCGUG